AGAAUCUGAUCCUUGAUCUUGUUCCCCAAAUUCCGACAAAAAAGUGGAAAAUCGUCAGAAUUUGGGGCAAAAAUCGCCAAUUUUGGGUCAUUUUGGGGUCAUUUUGGGGUUAUUGUGGAGUUUUGGGGUAAUUAAUGGGGCUUUGGGAUCAUAAAAAGACCCCAAAGGUGACAGAGCCCAGCCCAGGGUCUCGUCGUUCACCUCGUUCCCCAAAUCCCCGCAGAAAAUGCGGAAAUCGUCUGGGUUCGGGGCGAAAAACGGCGAUUUUGGGUCAAAAACGGCGAUUUUGGGUCAUUUCGGGGUCGUUUUUGGGUAAUUAAUGAGAUUUUUAAGGUUAUUAUUGAGGAUUUGGGGUCACAGGAAUGACUCAAAGGUCACAAAAUCCAGCCCAGAAUCUGAUCCUUGAUCUUGUUCCCCAAAUUCCAAUGAAAAACUGGAAAAUCGUCAGAAUUUGGGGCAAAAAACGCCAAUUUUGGGUCAUUUUGGGGUCGUUUUGGGGUUAUUGUGGAGUUUUGGGGUCGUUAAUGAGAGUUUGGGGGCAUAAAAAGACCCCAAAGGUCACAAAAUCCAGCCCAGAAUCUGAUCCUUGAUCUUGUUCCCCAAAUUCCAAUGAAAAACUGGAAAAUCGUCAGAAUUUGGGGCAAAAAACGCCAAUUUUGGGUCAUUUCGGGGUCGUUUUGGGGUUAUUGUGGAGUUUUGGGGUAAUUAAUGAGGUUUUGGGGUCAUAGAGAGACCCCAAAGGUCACAAAAUCCAACCCAGAAUCUCAUCCUUGAUCUUGUUCCCCAAAUCCCAAUGAAAAACUGGAAAAUCGUCAGAAUUUGGGGCAAAAAUCGCCAAUUUUGGGUCAUUUUGGGGUCGUUUUGGGUCAUUAAUGAGGUUUUGGGGUCGUUAAUGAGAGUUUGGGGUCAUAAAAAGACCCCAAAGGUGACAGAGCCCAGCCCAGGGUCUCGUCGUUCACCUCGUUCCCCAAAUCCCCGCAGAAAAUGCGGAAAUCGUCUGGGUUCGGGGCGAAAAACGGCGAUUUUGGGUCAAAAACGGCGAUUUUGGGUCAUUUCGGGGUCGUUUUUGGGUAAUUAAUGAGAUUUUUCAGGUCGUUAUUGAGGGUUUGGGGUCCUGGGAAUGUCCCAAAAGUCACAAAAUCCAGCCCAGAAUCUGAUCCUUGAACUUGUUCCCCAAAUCCCAACGAAAAACUGGAAAACCGUCAGAAAUUGGGGCAAAAAACGCCAAUUUUGGGUCAUUUCGGGGUUGUUUUGGGGUUAUUGUGGAGUUUUGGGGUCGUUAAUGAGGUUUUGGGGUCAUAAAAAGACCCCAAAGGUCACAAAAUCCAGCCCAGAAUCUCAUCCUUGAUCUUGUUCCCCAAAUCCCAACGAAAAACUGGAAAAUCGUCAGAAUUUGGGGCAAAAAUCGCCAAUUUUGGGUCAUUUUGGGGUCAUUUUGGGGUCGUUAUGGGGUCAUAGACACACCUGGAGACUCCCAGUCCCUCCCAGUUUGUCCCAGUCCCCUCCCAGUUCAUCCCAGUCCAU
Molecule: non-coding RNA, 1524 nt
Organism: Cyanistes caeruleus (blue tit)
Lineage: Eukaryota; Metazoa; Chordata; Aves; Passeriformes; Paridae
Source: RefSeq, a predicted model, not a curated record